CAACAGCUCAAGACAACUACCCAAGAUAUGCUAAUCCAAGUUUUGCCUGUUUCUUCAUCAGAAAGCAAAGUCUGAAAGUGAACCUAGCACAGAUGCAGGUCUGAAGAAAUACCUUAAUCUUAGAUACAACGAUCUCUGUGAAAUAAAUUAUCAUGGCACAAUAAAUAAAGGAGGUAUUUGUCACCUGUAUGCCACUGAAGGUCAUAUCUCAGCCUCCCAGCAGCCUUCCAAACUUCAGUAAAUCAUACCAGAGUGAGAAAUACAAAAAGAGAUUGCUCUUUAGCAUCUCUCCUGGUGUCUCCCUCCUUCCAAGCAGACACAAAAGCCUACGGAUCCUGCAGAGGUGUACUUUCAGGCUGUACAAGCAUCAUCAAGCACUUCAAAUGCUGCUACACAGAGGGGAAACAAAAGAAAACCUCUCUCCACAAGCAUGAAUUGAAAAUGUAAGAUGGUAUCCAGGUGGCAAAACUUAGGCAUCUAGAGCUAAUUGGAAACGUUGCCUAACAUAGACACCAUGUGUCUGUAUCUUCAGUCAGGGAGCAGCACCACUCCUACAAUGGGAAACCAUUAUGCACCUAGCAGGGCACUACAUGCCUUAGUUCAGUCCGACGUCCAUUUAUGACAGAACAUGCUUUGCAAUAGCACUCUCUCCAACCUUCCAGCUCUGAUCCCACAGGAAACUUUGCAAAUCCACAAUUCUUCUGCACACUGAGAUUUACAGAUUCAAGAGAGACGGUGGUACUUCGCAAUUUUUGCCACAACUCACUCCCAACAAAUCUCAGAAUACCUCAGGGAAAACAAUUAUCCAUCUUUGCACUGUGAAGGUCUACAAGCUUUGCACAUAUACUGCAGCAAACAUCCUUACCUGUUCUGCAUAUUCCAAACCUUUUUUCUUCUAAGAUUUUCAAAGUGAUUUGCAUCAUGAAUUAGGAAUGAAUGUUCGUAAUUUUUCAGAAGCCUAUUUCUAUCACAAAAGUGAUGAAAGAUAUCCAAGCCAG
This 998-nucleotide long non-coding RNA is filed under the name Gallus gallus (chicken). The record is from RNAcentral. Lineage: Eukaryota; Metazoa; Chordata; Aves; Galliformes; Phasianidae.